GGCGCAGCCUGAUGCAGCCAUGCCGCGUGUGUGAAGAAGGCCUUCGGGUUGUAAAGCACUUUCAGUCAGGAGGAAAGGUUAGUAGUUAAUACCUGCUAGCUGUGACGUUACUGACAGAAGAAGCACCGGCUAACUCCGUGCCAGCAGCCGCGGUAAUACGGAGGGUGCGAGCGUUAAUCGGAAUUACUGGGCGUAAAGCGUACGCAGGCGGUUUGUUAAGCGAGAUGUGAAAGCCCCGGGCUCAACCUGGGAACUGCAUUUCGAACUGGCAAACUAGAGUGUGAUAGAGGGUGGUAGAAUUUCAGGUGUAGCGGUGAAAUGCGUAGAGAUCUGAAGGAAUACCGAUGGCGAAGGCAGCCACCUGGGUCAACACUGACGCUCAUGUACGAAAGCGUGGGGAGCAAACAGGAUUAGAUACCCUGGUAGUCCACGCCGUAAACGAUGUCUACUAGAAGCUCGGAACCUCGGUUCUGUUUUUCAAAGCUAACGCAUUAAGUAGACCGCCUGGGGAGUACGGCCGCAAGGUUAAAACUCAAAUG
This 539-nucleotide ribosomal RNA is filed under the name Pseudoalteromonas undina. RNAcentral's name for it is "bacterial SSU rRNA". It matches the Rfam family "Bacterial small subunit ribosomal RNA", at positions 374 to 907 of the family's 1533-position model. The record is from RNAcentral. Lineage: Bacteria; Pseudomonadati; Pseudomonadota; Gammaproteobacteria; Alteromonadales; Pseudoalteromonadaceae.